CACACCAUAGAGUGUGUAUAGACCCUUAUAACAAGAAAAACAAAAACAAUGCUUGAACGUUCUAUUUUGUUCCCCAUCUACUUCCGCUUCAUUAAGGUGUGUAAGGCC
Long non-coding RNA from Alosa sapidissima (American shad), 108 nucleotides. RefSeq lists it as uncharacterized. The transcript is spliced from 3 exons. The record is from RefSeq and is a predicted model, not a curated record. Lineage: Eukaryota; Metazoa; Chordata; Actinopteri; Clupeiformes; Clupeidae.